UACAGAGGUCCCAAGCGUUGUUCGGAUUCAUUGGGCGUAAAGGGUGCGUAGGUGGCAUUGUAAGUCAGGUGUGAAAGCCUGGGGCUUAACCCCAGAAGAGCACUUGAAACUGCGAGGCUAGAGGACUGGAGAGGAGACUGGAAUUCACGGUGUAGCAGUGAAAUGCGUAGAUAUCGUGAGGAAGGCCAGUGGCGAAAGCGGGUCUCUGGACAGUUCCUGACACUGAGGCACGAAGGCUAGGGGAGCAAACGGG
This 253-nucleotide ribosomal RNA is filed under the name uncultured bacterium. RNAcentral's name for it is "partial 16S ribosomal RNA". It matches the Rfam family "Bacterial small subunit ribosomal RNA", at positions 524 to 776 of the family's 1533-position model. The record is from RNAcentral.